AUGCACUAGGAUGCAAAAGAAAAUAAUCUCUGUACUUUCCAUCUUUGUGGCUGUCCACACUGAAUUGGGGAGUACAUAA
Small nucleolar RNA from Cricetulus griseus (Chinese hamster), 79 nucleotides. Lineage: Eukaryota; Metazoa; Chordata; Mammalia; Rodentia; Cricetidae. The record is from Ensembl.